This is a long non-coding RNA of Ictalurus punctatus (channel catfish), 764 nucleotides long. The record is from Ensembl. NCBI's taxonomy places the organism in Eukaryota, Metazoa, Chordata, Actinopteri, Siluriformes, Ictaluridae.
UAAUUAGGAUGUGGAGCAUGGAGGUAUUUUUUACAGGAAACUAAGUAUGGAACCCCUGCCGUCAGCCUCAGGGCAAGAACAUGAAGGACUGUAAGUAGGUUUUUUUUUUUUUUUGAUGGGGAGAGGCAUAAUGCAGGUCAUAUGCACACACACACGCACAGAAAAGAGGCACACAAAAAUCUUGAACGACGAGGCUGAGAAAGCAAGCACAAGUGCCUGGAUGUAGUCAGUGCUCAAAACAAUACAUUUCCAGAGAGCAUCCCUCUUGACAAUGACCUGGGACCUAAUGUUCGGUGAGCUGCAGGAUCAAGGAGAAUGUGCAUCUUCCUCUUUGCUUUAAUGAACCUAAAGGUCAAGAGGGGUAUGUUACAGCUAAACAUUGGGAUAGACACACACACAUUCACCUACAAACACACCCCCCUAACAGACAUGGACACUUACCCACAAACCUUUGCACAAAGAGAGGAAUGCUGUUUGCUCACUGCAUUCAUCCAUGUAAAAGCACCAUCGGGGCAGACAGUCACUCUGUUCCACAGCAUGUCUAGCCAUCACCACACACACACACACACACACACACACACACACACACACACACACACACCUAACAAUCACAAAGAGAGAUGGCACUUUCCUUUUCACAAAGCACACCCCCAAAAACCCUCUAGCACCACACACACUUCGCUUGCCACCUUUGUAUCACUUGAAAGGCAUAUGGUUACAGCCAUUUGAUUCCAUAGCUGAAAGUGCCUUUCACUUAACAGCAG